UCAAGCACUCACUCACACAGAAGCUGAAGGCUCCAUAGCAGAUAUUUCCAUGAACAAGGCAGAAGCUCCACCGCCUAUUAUGACCUGGCUUCAGAGUCACAGAGCAUCACAUUCAUCAUACUCUGUUGGUCAAAACAGUCACAAACCCACCCAGAUUCUAGGAAAGGGAACAUAGACACCUCUGCCCUAAUGAGAGGACUCACCCUGUAAGAGGGGCAUGUGGAAUGGGAGGUAUUAUGGUUGCCAUCUUUAGAAAUUACAAUUUGCCACAGGUUGGGUUCCCUAGAAGCAGAGGUUGAAACAGGGGUUCUUUUGUGAGUUAAGGAAGAGGGAGAAGCUAAGCGAGGAUGUAGCUUCAGGUGAAGUCCAGCUUCAACCUGAUCUUGUAGGCAGCACCGGAUCUCACAUUGUCCGCAGCAUUUGUCCCUCCUUGAGGCAAAAAAGUAGGGCUUUUGUACACACAUAUCAGUCAACCUUAGCUUAGGGAAGCCCCAGGGGAAGGGUUGUAACUCCCAGGUAUCUCGUAGACAGGCAACUCCUCUUGCUUAAAGGCAUUUCCCAGACAAGGCUUGUUCUGUGAGCCUUUAAUAGCAGUUAAUAAAAAGAUCGCCAGAGAUCUGAUUGGGACUGCAACAGCCUCAGCUACAUUAAGAUAAGGGGGCACAUUCAAGGCCUGUUUUAUAGAGACUAGCAGAAACCAUAUAAGAAUCACUAACAUGAGCUGCCUAUCCUGGAGGCCCCUCUGCUGUCAUUAUUUUAUGUGCUGGAAAACGCUGCGAUGGGAAGACAGCCCGGUCAGAUGGGGAUGGCCUGGAAUAGGGGCCAGAGACAGGUCUUGCUCUGUCACCAGGCUGAAGUGCAGUAAUCAUAGCUCACUGCAGCCUCUGAACUCCCAGCCUGAAGCAUCCUCCCACCUCAGUCUCCCGACUAUCUGGGACUACAGGGGUGCACCAACAUAACUAGCUAAUUCUUAUUUUAUUUUAUUAUUUUUUGUAGAGACAGAGCUUUGCUCUGUUGCCCACACUCAUCUCAAACUUCUGGCUUUAAGCUAUCCUCCCACUUUGGCUUCCCACAGUGCUAGGAUUACAGGGAUGAGCCACCAUGCCCGGUCUGUUUCCAUUUUUUAAAAUAGUGGCUGGGACUUUGCUUCCUCUGUGUGAAAGGCUGCUUACCUGUCCUGGGGAAGGAUAGGAACAAAUUACAUGAAGCACACUGACCAUUCCUUCACCCUUCAGGCAGCUAACUAUGGAGGCAAGACA
This is a long non-coding RNA of Symphalangus syndactylus (siamang), 1259 nucleotides long. RefSeq lists it as uncharacterized. The record is from RefSeq and is a predicted model, not a curated record. Lineage: Eukaryota; Metazoa; Chordata; Mammalia; Primates; Hylobatidae.